GAUGAACGCUGGCGGCGUGCCUAAUACAUGCAAGUCGAGCGAACGGACGAGAAGCUUGCUUUUCUGAUGUUAGCGGCGGACGGGUGAGUAACACGUGGAUAACCUACCUAUAAGACUGGGAUAACUUCGGGAAACCGGAGCUAAUACCGGAUAAUAUUUUGAACCGCAUGGUUCAAAAGUGAAAGACGGUCUUGCUGUCACUUAUAGAUGGAUCCGCGCUGCAUUAGCUAGUUGGUAAGGUAACGGCUUACCAAGGCAACGAUGCAUAGCCGACCUGAGAGGGUGAUCGGCCACACUGGAACUGAGACACGGUCCAGACUCCUACGGGAGGCAGCAGUAGGGAAUCUUCCGAAAGGGGCGAAAGCCUGACGGAGCAACGCCGCGUGAGUGAUGAAGGUCUUCGGAUCGUAAAACUCUGUUAUUAGGGAAGAACAUAUGUGUAAGUAACUGUGCACAUCUUGACGGUACCUAAUCAGAAAGCCACGGCUAACUACG
RNAcentral lists this ribosomal RNA (495 nucleotides) under uncultured bacterium. RNAcentral's name for it is "partial 16S ribosomal RNA". It matches the Rfam family "Bacterial small subunit ribosomal RNA", at positions 28 to 505 of the family's 1533-position model. The record is from RNAcentral.